Molecule: long non-coding RNA, 477 nt
Organism: Puntigrus tetrazona (Sumatra barb)
Lineage: Eukaryota; Metazoa; Chordata; Actinopteri; Cypriniformes; Cyprinidae
Exons: 4
Source: RefSeq, a predicted model, not a curated record
CCAGUCUACCAAAAGAUCUGUCCAUGUUUCGUACAUGUAGUUCAUGUAAAUAUCGAGAAGGACAUAUGCUUUGAAGACAAGACAAGAUACUAGUUCCAACAGUUAUGUUGCAACACACAAGUUUUCUCUGCGCUCUGAAGGCAUGACCGUCUCGGUGUGUUUGGUGACGGAUGUUUUCCUGUUUUCCUGUUGGCGAGCAUUGACAUGGAGAUCUCCGGACCGAGCAGCCCUCGAUGACAUCAUCAUCCAGCGCCCGGCGCAUGGUGAAGUCCACCACCGGAUGGAAACGGAGCGACUCGUUGAUGAAACUCUCCAGAAUGUGUAACCUGGACAGAUGAUCUUUAACUCCACGUCUGGAUUCUGUUUGAGCAACAGCAGCAUGAAGAACAGGCUGAUAGAAAGGGUGUCUGGAGCAGCGAUCACCAUCUCCAACACACACUGCCUGACGUUCUCAGCGCUCAGCUCCCCAAGGCUCUA